AUGAGGAUACAGAGACAAACAGGGUUAAGUGACUUGCCCAGGGUCACACUGCUAGCAUUGGAGGCCAGAUUUGAACACAGAAAGAUGAAUCUUCCUGACUUCACACCCAGCACCCUAUGCACUGCCUCACCUAGCUGUCCUGAAAGCAGAGCAAUUGUCCUGCAUAUUCAACUCCUAAACCUGAAAACAGAAUCAACAAAGGGAGGACAAUUUGUGUAUGGAUAUUGCUAUUUCCCAGCCUGCCUGCCUGUCUGACUCCUUUUCCCACUGGAUACUCAGUUAUAAAGGACAUCUAGUGGUAAGCUGGCAGUAGCACCAGCUCCCUGAGGUGCUGGUGACUUGGAAAGACAUUUCUCUCUCUUUAGGGAAAGCUGAACUUUUCUUCGUGGCCUAUGGAUGCUGCUUGGAAAAACGACUAAGGGCCACCAGCUCCCUAUCUGCAAAUAUUCUGAGGGGGGAAAAGCAAUGAAAGGAGUCUCGCCUGACAGAUUUCAGGAAUACAAGGUGAAAUGCAAAUGACAAGCAGAAUUUGAGAUCAGUUCUAAUGACUACUGUAGACCAUCAAUCAGUUAAUAAACAUUUAUUAAAUGCUGCUAUGUGCCA
This 603-nucleotide long non-coding RNA is filed under the name Monodelphis domestica (gray short-tailed opossum). RNAcentral describes it as "lncRNA (ENSMODG00000049546.1)". The record is from RNAcentral. Lineage: Eukaryota; Metazoa; Chordata; Mammalia; Didelphimorphia; Didelphidae.